Lagenorhynchus albirostris (white-beaked dolphin) is the source of this 412-nucleotide long non-coding RNA. RefSeq lists it as uncharacterized. The record is from RefSeq and is a predicted model, not a curated record. NCBI's taxonomy places the organism in Eukaryota, Metazoa, Chordata, Mammalia, Artiodactyla, Delphinidae. The transcript has 3 exons.
AGCUAGCAAGCAGAGUGCCAGACCCCAGAACACGCACACUCCACGUUUGCAGACAAUGCACUGCUCCAGACGUUCUAGAGGUGCUGCUGAGAUAGAACAUCUAUCUAACCUCGACGCAAAGCACUGCCCCAGACACUAUGGAGACGUCAGUGAGACCAAGACCCCUUACCCUCUAGGAAUUUGAGCAGCCAGCAGGCCAAAUAAAGCAGGAUUAAAUAGCUGCCUUCUGGGUUGUUGUGAAGCUUAAGAAGAGAUUUAUAAAAGAGCUUAGCACAGCGCCUAACACGCGGGUUAUUCUCAGUGAACGUUACCUGUUAUCUCCAUCAUCUCCUCUGCCAUCAUAAUCACUGCCGCCACCUCUAGGAUGUGACUUUCUUCUUUCCUUGAGGGGGACCCUGGUGCAGUCUUCAGG